AUUGAACGCUGGCGGCAGGCCUAACACAUGCAAGUCGAACGAGCGGCGGACGGGUGAGUAAUGUCUGGGACACUGCCUGAUAGAGGGGGAUAACUACUGGAAACGUUAGCUAAUACCGCAUACUAUCAGAUGAACCCAUAUGGGAUUAGCUAGUUGUGGGGUGAACGGCUCACCAAGGCGACGAUCCCUAGCUGGUCUGAGAGGAUGACCAGCAACACUGGAACUGAGACACGGCCCAGACUCCUACGGGAGGCAGCAGGGGGGAAGAUUGCACAAUGGGCGCAAGCCUGAUGCAGCCAUGCCGCGUGUAUGAAGAAGGCCUUAGGGUUGUAAAGUACUUUCAGCGGGGAGGCGUUACCCGCAGAAGAAGCACCGGCUAACUCCGUGCCAGCAGCCGCGGUAAUUC
Molecule: ribosomal RNA, 406 nt
Filed under: uncultured bacterium
Lineage: Bacteria
Description: partial 16S ribosomal RNA
Rfam family: Bacterial small subunit ribosomal RNA
Source: RNAcentral